AAGAUUGCGACCUCGAUGUUGGA
This 23-nucleotide small RNA is filed under the name Drosophila melanogaster (fruit fly). Its description in RNAcentral is "piRNA piR-dme-108224". The record is from RNAcentral. Lineage: Eukaryota; Metazoa; Arthropoda; Insecta; Diptera; Drosophilidae.